Molecule: long non-coding RNA, 540 nt
Filed under: Trifolium pratense (red clover)
Lineage: Eukaryota; Viridiplantae; Streptophyta; Magnoliopsida; Fabales; Fabaceae
Description: long non-coding RNA (TPRA_LNC000336)
Source: RNAcentral
UUGAAGUAUGAGGCGGUUUAAUCUGAUCAUUAACCGUUAUAACUAUUUCAUUCCCAUCUUGUGCAUGUUCUUCUGGUUGUGCUUCUGGAGGUUCGUUACCCAGAUUCUGAUCAUUAACCCUCUUACGUUUUCUAUUGGGAAAAGUUUAUGCUGUUGAAGUAUGAAGAGGGUCAAUCUGAUCAUUAACCGUCGUUGUAGUUGGCAUACUAGAUUAUUCAAUUACUAUUUCUCCAACAAUCCAAUAUACAUAUAGGAACAAUUUUGUAGAAGAUUUCGAAUGCGGAGGGAUACAUUCCUUCCCAUUGUAGAAGCUCUUGGCAAAAACGACAUUGCUGAAUACUUAAGAAAACCCAACAAAAACGACAUUGAUCGUUUACGACAAAAUUAAUUAUUUUUAAAAUUAUGUAAUGUUAUUUUUUAAUUAUGUCAUUCUUAAAAUUUGGCAAUAUUAUUUUAAAUUAAAUUUCGUAUUUUAAUUAUUUUUUCGAAUUAUAAAAAAAUAGUACAUACUAAUUUUAUCAUUCAAUCAAUUUAUAUUAU